GACCUCAGAUCAGGCAAGGCUACCCGCUGAAUUUAAGCAUAUCAAUAAGCGGAGGAAAAGAAACUAACAAGGAU
This 74-nucleotide ribosomal RNA is filed under the name Corallizoanthus tsukaharai. RNAcentral describes it as "partial 28S ribosomal RNA". It matches the Rfam family "Eukaryotic large subunit ribosomal RNA", at positions 1 to 75 of the family's 3401-position model. Lineage: Eukaryota; Metazoa; Cnidaria; Anthozoa; Zoantharia; Parazoanthidae. The record is from RNAcentral.